ACCUGUUUGGACAAUCAGAUAAUUACUGUGAAGACUGCCACAACUCUCCACUUCAUGAAGGACGUAGCUCUCCGGCACCUUUCCUGUGUAAUGCUCUUGGUCCUACGCAAAAUCCAUUAGGAGGAUCUCCAGCCAGUGGAAUAAGUUGCCACACCUGAAAACAGUGAGGUCCAAUUUAGCUUGGAAACAGAACAAGGGGACCCACGCGUACCUUAAAACUUCCUUCCUUAAAAACAAGGCGGCGAAUGCAAGUCCUCACUUCUAAAGCAGCUCUGCUUUAAAUUCCCUCGGGUUGUCUCCUCUCCACUCCUGUUAAGCUGUGUGAAUACCAGGGAAGUGUAAGUCACAAAGACUUUCAGCGGAGCGUCUUGCUGAUCAUCAGAACAGUAGUUUUGUACUCCGAAACAUCUCUCUGUAGAAGAGCAGGUGGUCUGUACUGCUCAGGAAGAGACUGUAAGCAUGCACAUGAUGGAGAAGGAGCCAUUUGCAGCGUGAGGUUGGAUGCGUGUGGAAUCAGGACACGUUGAUCCAAGCUCACGCAGAUAACGCCCUGAAUUCAUGUACUCAUUUGUCUUACGAGUUUGAAAUUUCCAGAGGUGCCUCUGGGAUUUAGUUGUACCAUUUCCAGUGGCACCAGGGUGCUUAAAUGCAGUAAUGAGGAGUACAGACCUUGUGGGGUCACAAAGAGGAGUAGAGCUACGUGACUUUGGGAACAUGUAUUUUCACCAAAAGCUCUCCCAGUGUGCUCCCAGCUCCCAUAGACAGAAACGUCACUUCAAACAUGAUUCCCCUCUGGUGGUGGCCUUCCUCUCCAGUAACCGAGUUCUUGGUAUCUGCAGCACGAGCAGAACAGUUCUGUUGUGAAAGAAGGAAAUCGGCAGAGCCGCAAGUUCUGCCCUGACUCAGAAUAAAACUGAAGUCUCAGA
RNAcentral lists this long non-coding RNA (926 nucleotides) under Anser cygnoides (Swan goose). RNAcentral describes it as "lncRNA (ENSACDG00005000519.1)". The record is from RNAcentral. Lineage: Eukaryota; Metazoa; Chordata; Aves; Anseriformes; Anatidae.